This 497-nucleotide ribosomal RNA is filed under the name uncultured bacterium. RNAcentral's name for it is "partial 16S ribosomal RNA". It matches the Rfam family "Bacterial small subunit ribosomal RNA", at positions 28 to 507 of the family's 1533-position model. The record is from RNAcentral.
GAUGAACGCUGGCGGCGUGCCUAAUACAUGCGAGUCGAGCGAACGGACGAGAAGCUUGCUUCUCUGAUGUUAGCGGCGGACGGGUGAGUAACACGUGGAUAACCUACCUAUAAGACUGGGAUAACUUCGGGAAACCGGAGCUAAUACCGGAUAAUAUUUUGAACCGCAUGGUUCAAAAGUGAAAGACGGUCUUGCUGUCACUUAUAGAUGGAUCCGCGCUGCAUUAGCUAGUUGGUAAGGUAACGGCUUACCAGGGCAACGAUGCAUAGCCGACCUGAGAGGGUGAUCGGCCACACUGGAACUGAGACACGGUCCAGACUCCUACGGGAGGCAGCAGUAGGGAAUCUUCCGCAAUGGGCGAAAGCCUGACGGAGCAACGCCGCGUGAGUGAUGAAGGUCUUCGGAUCGUAAAACUCUGUUAUUAGGGAAGAACAUAUGUGUAAGUAACUGUGCACAUCUUGACGGUACCUAAUCAGAAAGCCACGGCUAACUACGUG